CAGCACGGGGAGCUUGCUCCCUGGUGGCGAGCGGCGGACGGGUGAGUAAUGCAUAGGAAUCUGCCCGGUAGUGGGGGAUAACGUGGGGAAACCCACGCUAAUACCGCAUACGUCCUACGGGAGAAAGCGGAGGAUCUUCGGACUUCGCGCUAUCGGAUGAGCCUAUGUCGGAUUAGCUAGUUGGUAAGGUAACGGCUUACCAAGGCGACGAUCCGUAGCUGGUCUGAGAGGAUGAUCAGCCACACUGGGACUGAGACACGGCCCAGACUCCUACGGGAGGCAGCAGUGGGGAAUAUUGGACAAUGGGCGAAAGCCUGAUCCAGCCAUGCCGCGUGUGUGAAGAAGGCUUUCGGGUUGUAAAGCACUUUCAGCGAGGAAGAAAGCCUCUGGGUUAAUACCCCAGAGGAAGGACAUCACUCGCAGAAGAAGCACCGGCUAACUCCGUGCCAGCAGCCGCGGUAAUACGGAGGGUGCGAGCGUUAAUCGGAAUUACUGGGCGUAAAGCGCGCGUAGGUGGCUUGGCACGCCGGUUGUGAAAGCCCCGGGCUCAACCUGGGAACGGCAUCCGGAACGGCCAGGCUAGAGUGCAGGAGAGGAAGGUAGAAUUCCCGGUGUAGCGGUGAAAUGCGUAGAGAUCGGGAGGAAUACCAGUGGCGAAGGCGGCCUUCUGGCCUGACACUGACACUGAGGUGCGAAAGCGUGAGUAGCAAACAGGAUUAGAUACCCUGGUAGUCCACGCCGUAAACGAUG
RNAcentral lists this ribosomal RNA (750 nucleotides) under bacterium LAT6. RNAcentral describes it as "bacterial SSU rRNA". It matches the Rfam family "Bacterial small subunit ribosomal RNA", at positions 67 to 811 of the family's 1533-position model. The record is from RNAcentral.